Molecule: long non-coding RNA, 1850 nt
Filed under: Macaca fascicularis (crab-eating macaque)
Lineage: Eukaryota; Metazoa; Chordata; Mammalia; Primates; Cercopithecidae
Description: lncRNA (ENSMFAG00000065515.1)
Source: RNAcentral
CUCAGUGCCCAAGCCAGGUUGUCGGGGGCGGGGUGCUGACCUCCUGAUGAGCUGCACUGGAGGAUGAGAAUGCCGCAGACACAGCCACCCCUAAAAGUGAUCCUCCACAGACAGGCCAGCUCAGCAGGGGCAGGACAGUGGCCACAUUCCAGGCAGAGAGAGGGGAGCGAGGCCUGCCUAUGGGCAGGCCACUCUGAAACUUCUGCAGCCUUGGCAAGGAGAAGUGACAGAGCCCAGUCUGAGCAAACCAAAUGUGGGAGAUUAAGGACCUCUGCAAUUUGUCCCUCCUUCUCCCAGGGAGGGUAGAGGCCAAUUCCUCUGCCUUUGAAUUUGGACUGGCCUUGUGAUCCGCAUGACCAAUAAGAUGUGGCAGAAGUACACCUGGGACUCCAGAGGUCCAAUCACAAGAAGCCUCACAUCUCCCACACAGGUGUUUUAGAACACUGGUUCUGGGGGCCCCUAGGCCACCAGGCUGGAGAAGCCACAUGUGGAUACUCUGGUGGCAGUCUCAGCUAAGCCCACCUCCCAGACACCUCCACAAGGUGCCAGAUGUGUGAGUGAAGUUGUUUUGGACCCCCCAGAUCAGCACAUCAUGCAGCUGAAUACCACUGAGUAUUCCAUUAAAAACAUAGGGAACAGAAGAACCACCCAGCCAAGCACUGCCCAACCUCUGAUCUGCAAAAUGAGAUAUAAUAAAAUGGUGGUUGUUUUAAAACUAAAUGUUUAAUUAAUUUGUUACAGGCCAACAAAUAACCUUUACGGUGACUGAAUGAUGGAUUAAUUGACUUGCUGAUUCAUUCAUUCAACAUAUAUUCAUUAAAACCUACUCUGAGGCAGGACCCCUUAAAGAAAUAGCAGAGACAAAUAAUUCACUCUCCUUGUCCUCAGGAAGCUUCUGGGCUGGUUCCUUGGUGCCUACCCAGUUUGUGAUGAGUCCGCACCUGUGUUUGCCAGCUUUCUUCUCUGGGGCCUGCCACUUUCUGGGCUUCACUGUCAACAUUCCCUGUCUAGAUCCUGCCCCUGUCUUUAUUCUCUCUGGGUGAGGAUAAAUUCAUGUGGGAUGUUCUGCCCCUAGAACAAGUGUUAUCGUGCUCUAAAAGGUCCUCUAUAUACUAAAAUAAACAAGGGAAUUAAAAUAUUACACUAGAAAAAUAGUUACAAAAGAAGGUAAUAAUGGAGGAAUACAGGAAGAAAAACUAUAUAAGAUGCAGAAAAUAAAUGACAAAAUUGUUUAUGUAAAUCUUGCCUUAUCAAUAAUUAUAUUAAAUGUAGAUUAAACACUUAAAUCAAAAGACAAAGACUGGUAGAAUGGAUAACAAAAAACAUAAUAUAAUUACAUUCUGUCUACCAGAGAUUCACUUUAGAUUCAAAAACACAAAUAGGUUGAAAAAUGAAAGGAUGGAAAAAGAUAUACAAAUGGUAACCAAAAUGAGUUAAAGUAGCUGUAACUAAAAUCAGAUAAAAUAAACUUUAAGAUAUACAUUGUUACUAGGGACUGAGAAGGACAUUUCAUAAUGAUAAAAGGGACAAUCCAUUAAGAAGACACAACAAUAUGCUGGGUGUGGUGGCUCAUGCCUGUAAUCCCAGCACUUUGGAAGGCUGAGGUGGGCGGAUCACAAGGUCAGGAGAUCAAGACCAUCCUGGAUAACACGGUGAAACUCCAUCUCUACUAAAAAUACAAAAAGUUAGCCAGACGUGGUGGUGGGCGCCUGUAGUCCCAGCUACUCGGGAGGCUGAGGCAGGGGAAUGGCGUGAACCCAGGAGGCGGAGCUUGCAGUGAGCCGAGAUGACGCCACUGUACUCCAGCCUGGGCAACAGAGCAAGACUCCGUCUCAAAAAAAAAAAAAAAA